UACGAAGGGGGCUAGCGUUGUUCGGAAUCACUGGGCGUAAAGGGCGCGUAGGCGGCCGCUCAAGUCGGGGGUGAAAGCCUGUGGCUUAACCACAGAAUUGCCUUCGAUACUGUUUGGCCUGAGACCGGAAGAGGUGAGUGGAACUGCGAGUGUAGAGGUGAAAUUCGUAGAUAUUCGCAAGAACACCAGUGGCGAAGGCGGCUCACUGGUCCGGUUCUGACGCUGAGACGCGAAAGCGUGGGGAGCAAACAGG
This 253-nucleotide ribosomal RNA is filed under the name uncultured bacterium. RNAcentral's name for it is "partial 16S ribosomal RNA". It matches the Rfam family "Bacterial small subunit ribosomal RNA", at positions 524 to 776 of the family's 1533-position model. The record is from RNAcentral.